UAGUUUUACCCUACUGAUGCCC
RNAcentral lists this non-coding RNA (22 nucleotides) under Arabidopsis thaliana (thale cress). The record is from RNAcentral. Lineage: Eukaryota; Viridiplantae; Streptophyta; Magnoliopsida; Brassicales; Brassicaceae.